AAAAGAAAGAAAUUUUUUAAUAAAUUGGUUGGAAGCUAUCUAGAGGUAAAACCUUUUGUAUCAGGACUUUUCUAGAAUUAUAAAAUUAAAUCCCGAACAGUAAACAAUAAAGGUUAAGAUUCUAGAAAGAUUGGAAAUAAAUUUACUUAACCUUAAGGGCUAUAUGCUUUACUUUACUUUAUAGCUGGAUAAAUGACUCGCUUCAUUAAAGAUGAACUUAGAAAAAUUAAAAAAAAAAUGCCCUAUAAACAAUUAUAAAAAAUUAAAUGUGUAGGGGAAACCAUGUAAAUAAAUUUCUUAAAUUAUUUUUGAGACAAUUUUAAUAAUGUGAAGAUUAGUAAGAAGAUUAUUUAAACCAGGUUUAUUUUAAAAGGUGAUUUACGUCCUAAAACAUAAAACUUUGCAAAAACUGCUGAGACUGUUUAUCAAAAACAUAGGCCUCUUAUUAGAAGCUUGCUUCUGCUCAUUGCCGAGACAAGGUAAAAGGCCGUCACACGCUAAGGUAGCGUAAUAAAAAGUUCAUUAAUUGUGAACCCGAAUGAAAGAAGAAACUCAGCAGUUCUGUCAUAAUUCAGCUAAUAAAAUUAAAAAGUAAUAAAAAAGCUCUUUCAAUUGUAAGACGAGAAGACCCUAGAAACUCUCUAAGUAUUAGUUUUUUGGGGAAAAAUAAUAGGUUAAAUCUUAAGUAUUAAUGAAAUCUCAACCUAAAAAUAAGUUACUCUAGGGAUAACAGAGCAAUUUUGAUUUAAAGAUCUCAUAAAAAUUGAAGAUUGCGACCUCGAUGUUGGAUUCUUCAUUCUAUUAAUCGCAGCAGAUGAUCAAAGAGCAACUGUUCGUUGCUUAAAAGAAGACUUGAUCUGAGUUCAGAUCGGCGUAAGCCAGAUCGGUUUUUAUCUACAAUUAGAAAUAUCGAGACUUGGUACGAAAGGACUUUUCUCUUCUUUGAUAUAUAAGCGUCACUAAAUCAUUAUGUACUCCUCCCCCUGUUAUUGUAAUAUCUUAG
Molecule: ribosomal RNA, 1003 nt
Filed under: Leipothrix sp. 1 XFX-2017
Lineage: Eukaryota; Metazoa; Arthropoda; Arachnida; Trombidiformes; Eriophyidae
Description: 16S ribosomal RNA
Rfam family: Bacterial large subunit ribosomal RNA (bases 612-901)
Source: RNAcentral